RNAcentral lists this transfer RNA (88 nucleotides) under Propionibacteriaceae bacterium. Its description in RNAcentral is "tRNA-Ser". It matches the Rfam family "tRNA". Rfam says of the family: Transfer RNA (tRNA) molecules are approximately 80 nucleotides in length. Their secondary structure includes four short double-helical elements and three loops (D, anti-codon, and T loops). Lineage: Bacteria; Bacillati; Actinomycetota; Actinomycetes; Propionibacteriales; Propionibacteriaceae. The record is from RNAcentral.
GGUGACGUGUCCGAGUGGCCGAAGGAGCACGCCUCGAAAGCGUGAGAGGGGCAACCCUCCGUGGGUUCAAAUCCCACCGUCACCGCCA